RNAcentral lists this ribosomal RNA (433 nucleotides) under Aeromonas finlandensis. RNAcentral's name for it is "bacterial SSU rRNA". It matches the Rfam family "Bacterial small subunit ribosomal RNA", at positions 29 to 455 of the family's 1533-position model. Lineage: Bacteria; Pseudomonadati; Pseudomonadota; Gammaproteobacteria; Aeromonadales; Aeromonadaceae. The record is from RNAcentral.
AUUGAACGCUGGCGGCAGGCCUAACACAUGCAAGUCGAGCGGCAGCGGGAAAGUAGCUUGCUACUUUUGCCGGCGAGCGGCGGACGGGUGAGUAAUGCCUGGGGAUCUGCCCAAUCGAGGGGGAUAACUACUGGAAACGGUAGCUAAUACCGCAUACGCCCUACGGGGGAAAGCAGGGGACCUUCGGGCCUUGCGCGAUUGGAUGAACCCAGGUGGGAUUAGCUAGUUGGUGAGGUAAUGGCUCACCAAGGCGACGAUCCCUAGCUGGUCUGAGAGGAUGAUCAGCCACACUGGAACUGAGACACGGUCCAGACUCCUACGGGAGGCAGCAGUGGGGAAUAUUGCACAAUGGGGGAAACCCUGAUGCAGCCAUGCCGCGUGUGUGAAGAAGGCCUUCGGGUUGUAAAGCACUUUCAGCGAGGAGGAAAGGUGG